GAUGAACGCUAGCGGCAGGCUUAACACAUGCAAGUCGAGGGGUAUAGUUCUUCGGAACUAGAGACCGGCGCACGGGUGCGUAACGCGUAUGCAAUCUACCUUUCACAAAGGGAUAGCCCCAGAGAAAUUUGGAUUAAUACCUUAUAGUAAUACGACUUGGCAUCAAGAUGUAUUUAAAGAUUUAUCGGUGAAAGAUGAGCAUGCGUCCCAUUAGCUUGUUGGUAAGGUAACGGCUUA
This 237-nucleotide ribosomal RNA is filed under the name uncultured bacterium. Its description in RNAcentral is "partial 16S ribosomal RNA". It matches the Rfam family "Bacterial small subunit ribosomal RNA", at positions 28 to 267 of the family's 1533-position model. The record is from RNAcentral.